Long non-coding RNA from Telopea speciosissima, 150 nucleotides. RefSeq lists it as uncharacterized. The transcript has 3 exons. Lineage: Eukaryota; Viridiplantae; Streptophyta; Magnoliopsida; Proteales; Proteaceae. The record is from RefSeq and is a predicted model, not a curated record.
GCAACAACAAAAGCUGCAACCCAGCAACAAAGAAUUAUUCCACAUUGCUUAACAAGGCUGUCCUCGUGAAUGGUAAAAAAUGCAGGCCUUCAUGAGGAUUAAUGAAAUAAAGAACAAAGAAAGUACCUGAAAGCUGGAAGGAAGAAAUUC